RNAcentral lists this ribosomal RNA (389 nucleotides) under uncultured bacterium. RNAcentral's name for it is "bacterial SSU rRNA". It matches the Rfam family "Bacterial small subunit ribosomal RNA", at positions 28 to 414 of the family's 1533-position model. The record is from RNAcentral.
GACGAACGCUGGCGGCGUGCUUAACACAUGCAAGUCGAGCGGUAAGGCCCUCGGGUACGACGAGCGGCGAACGGGUGAGUAACACGUGGGUGGACCUGCCUCUAGCUCUGGGAUAAGCCUGGGAAACGUAGGGUCGUAAUACCGGAUAUGACUCCACGGCGCAUGUUGUGGGGUGGAAAGCCUUGUGUGGCUAGAGAUGGGCCCGGCGGCCGUAUCAGCUUGUUGGUGGGGUGAUGGCCUACCAAGGCGACGACGGGUAGCCGGCCUGAGAGGGCGACCGGCCGACACUGGGACUGAGACACGGCCCAGACUCCUACGGGAGGCAGCAGUGGGGAAUCUUGCGCAAUGGGCGAAAGCCUGACGCAGCGACGCCGCGUGAGGGAUGACGG